CCUGGGGGGAGGGCCUGCCAGGCCACAGCGCCGCCCUCACGGCGCCCACCUCACCUGUCCUGCCUAUUGUACCUCUGCUGCGUCAUGCGUGAAUGAAUUCAUUUCGAAUUCAUUUUUUAACUGAGUUUAAUUUAAUUUUGUUGGUACUGUUGAAAAACGUGGAAUACGUCAAAAUUUUCUUCAGGAUUUUCUGUGAUGUUAUUGUUGGUAGAAGUUAUUGUUGGUAGAAUUGCCUUGUUAAGGGUCAGGCCUGGACAUGCUUCAUGAUCUCAGACCUAGAGGGAGUUUAACAAAGCUCGGGGAGAGGGAUGUGCCAGUGAUGGUGGCCACAGGAAAUGCACAAUUGACGGGCCACAAAGACACCUGGCAGAAAUGCAAGAUGAGGAACAGCCAAUAAACCCAACCUGUAAUAGUGCUGAAUCAACAGCUGGGUGAAGAAUCAUUUUUGUGGCAGGAGGAGAUCACCACUGCCAACCCAUGGAGCAAGAAACCACCAGCCCAAAGGAAAGAAACACUGAGCAUGGCACUAAUUAGCAUGAAUAGCAAGAGAAUUACCCAGCAGAACACUAAUUAAAAGAGAGCUAUAUAACACAUAGCCAAUGAACACUGAUGGCCUAUUAAGAAAACCUUUGAAACCAUAUGUGAGAUUCAGAUUAUUGAGGGUUUUUUAUUGUGAGCAAUGUUGGACAUUGCCAGCGCCCAGAAGUUGUGCCAAAUGCUGAACCACUCACGAUAACCUCAAAUACCACGAGAACUCUACAAAACUCCUGUAACUUUUUGGGGCUACAUUCUCAAGGACAUGUCUGGAUUGACAGCUUUGUGCUGAGUGUUCCUGCAAGGCACUGAGCAUCCUUAACUCCAAUUAACAUCACUGGGAAUGGAGGCUCUUGGAGCUCUCUGAAGCCAUUCUUGGCAUGCCCAGCUGUCCAAGGAUCACUCUGGGAUCACCCACUGGCACAGCAGCUGCUGCUGAGAGAGGAGACACAGGCAGCAAGAGGAGGAAAGAUCACUUUAUCCAGAUUGUGUGAUCUCAUCAAGUCACAGAACUUCCCAACCUCAGAGCUCUCUGUUUUUAAGCCUAUAGGCAUAUUUGUGAUGGUAUGGAGGAAAAACCUCUUGGAGGGCAGAUUCAAUCUGUGCUCAAGGAGAGGUGAAAACAGCCCUGGAGGGAGAGGAGAACCCUCAUCACUGAGUGCCAGGGAAAGUUGCUGUGAGCUGAAGAGACUCUGUCCUGCCUCAGCUUCAGAUACCAGGUGAUGCUAUUGGCAUUUUGCUUCCUCCUUUAUUCUAUCAAAGGUCCCUUUGUGACACUCUGGUGAGCCCCAGAAUGAUGAAAGGUUCUGCAGGAAUCCCUGUUCUUCAGGCAGCUUUAUCCCAGUGCACCACAGACUCUGUUUAGGAGAGGCUGCAGCAGAGCAAGGACUCUCCCCUGCACCUUCUGGGUGCCUCCCUGCUCUGCUCUCCCUUCCCACUCCUCCCUUUGCUUCCUGAUUCUUGAAAUUCCUGAGCACCUCUAGUUCUGGGACAUACUGGAAUUUGUGCACACAGCCCUUCAACUGUUUUCUUCUGGGUCAAAAUUUUCCAGGGAAUGGCCAGGGAGUGCAGACAUCUCCUCACAGCAUUUAAUUGCUCCUUCAGUAGGAAAGGAUGUUAGUGGGAUUCCUGUUUGUUGUAC
Molecule: long non-coding RNA, 1675 nt
Organism: Zonotrichia leucophrys gambelii
Lineage: Eukaryota; Metazoa; Chordata; Aves; Passeriformes; Passerellidae
Exons: 3
Source: RefSeq, a predicted model, not a curated record